RNAcentral lists this ribosomal RNA (462 nucleotides) under uncultured bacterium. RNAcentral's name for it is "partial 16S ribosomal RNA". It matches the Rfam family "Bacterial small subunit ribosomal RNA", at positions 28 to 507 of the family's 1533-position model. The record is from RNAcentral.
GGCGAACGCUGGCGGCGUGCUUAACACAUGCAAGUCGAACGGUGAAGCCCUUCGGGGUGGAUCAGUGGCGAACGGGUGAGUAACACGUGAGCAACCUGCCCCUGGCUCUGGGACAACCACUGGAAACGGUGGCUAAUACCGGAUACGACCCGCCUCGGCAUCGAGUGUGGGUGGAAAGUUUUUCGGCUGGGGAUGGGCUCGCGGCCUAUCAGCUUGUUGGUGAGGUGAAGGCUCACCAAGGCGACGACGGGUAGCCGGCCUGAGAGGGCGACCGGCCACACUGGGACUGAGACACGGCCCAGACUCCUACGGGAGGCAGCAGUGGGGAAUAUUGCACAAUGGGCGAAAGCCUGAUGCAGCGACGCCGCGUGAGGGAUGACGGCCUUCGGGUUGUAAACCUCUUUCAGCUCCGAAGAAGCGAAAGUGACGGUAGGAGCAGAAGAAGCACCGGCUAACUACGUG